Long non-coding RNA from Varanus komodoensis (Komodo dragon), 2029 nucleotides. RefSeq lists it as uncharacterized. The record is from RefSeq and is a predicted model, not a curated record. The transcript is spliced from 2 exons. NCBI's taxonomy places the organism in Eukaryota, Metazoa, Chordata, Lepidosauria, Squamata, Varanidae.
CGCGAAGGGGCCGUGGCGCCCCCCUUUCCGGAAGCCUGGAUGCGUAUUAAAAUCAAGCCUAUUGUGAAAAGCGAAGCAAAAGCCCCAAGGCUGCAAUCUUAAGCAUAAUUACAUGGGAGUGAAGCCCCAGGAGAAAGGGGGUUUUACUUGGGAGCAAGCUUAUUUGGUUUGCUUUGCAAUGGGGUGCUCGCAAGAGGCCGUUUGCCAAAAACACGGUUCGUGUCUGGGUGCUAAAUGUUUUUUCCGCAAGUUAAGUUCUGCCGUUUGGAAGAACUUGCUUCAAAUUCCUGAGAGGGUUGUCGAGGUCUCGGGCUGGUGGUUUAGGUUCUGUUCCGCUCUCAGCCGAUUAAUUGACCUAGUGCACCUCUAUAAUAAGAGUAUUCCAGCGUAUGCCGACUAUUAAAUACAAAUUAUUUAACAUUCUCAUAAAAUGCAUAGAUGAUGCUUCUAGACUCAUGAACUGAGAACAGAGAGAGAACCUAGCCGUAGUCACGAUGUUUGGUAGAAACCAAUGCGACCCUUUGAUAUGUGACAACUUGAAAGCAAGUGUCACUUAAAUAAGGGAGAAUUAACAAGAAAUGUUUCCAAAGAAGAGUGCAGGAAGAAGUGGGCUUUUGCAAACGGUUUGUUAACAGGAAUUGCGGGAACUGGGCACCCCAUUUCUCACAUAAGUAUGGCUUGGCUACCCACACUCCAACACUUUUAAUGGGAUAUACACUAAAUAGGCAUCCUUAUCUCCAUUACAGAGCUGGUGGCUAAAUACUUCUUCAAAUGUCAAUUAAAGCAGGGUCCGGCACUUCUGUUUUAAACGGUUUUAGUCUUCGGAUCUACAUAAUACAAGGAAGUAUAUGUAUUACCAGGAAAAAUUAAAAUCUGAUGAAGAGAUUCAAAGUACACGAGAUUGCGUUGAAUGUAGUUCCGAUAGAGUCCAUUACAGUGCACCCCGACUCAGAAGCAGUGGGACUUGCUCCCAGAAGUGUAGAUUUUUGUCCAGGUUCUCCUAGGCAAACCAUUUGGCCUUUCCCUCCGAAACCACAAGAGCGAUUGGCUGAAGUUCGUUGCUAUCGGAGGGAGAAAUAACUGAGACGGGAAGCACGCUAUGAUGCCGGCGGCAAGACGCAGCGACGAGGGAGCGGUGCGUGCCAAGCGCCAGCCGGCGACCGGGGCGAAAAGCGUCUCCGGAGGCGACGGUUCCCAGGCGGAGUCCGCGGCCGCUUGCACCGGGCGCCUCCGGCCCGCUGCCUCCUCCUCCGUCGCGGGCUGCGGCUGCCCCUCCGCCCCGACACGGCGGGCGGCGGAGGCCCGCGGUUCCCCCGGAAGGCGCGCCGCGCAGGGCGCAUUUCGGGUCGGAACCGGGCUCUUCGGGGAGAGGCGAGCGAGGCGAAGGCGCGGGUUGUGCGCGGGGCACACGCGGUCCGAACAAGCGGCUCUGUUGAUGCGGCACCCAAACCUCGUGUCGUGUCGUGUCGUGUCGUGUCGUGUCCAGCCCGGGGGUUCCGUGACAAAUCGCGGCUUCAAGCGGACGUUUCAUCGCGCAGAACCAGGACCUGGUGGGUGCGGACACGGAGCGGAACUCCGGGCUCGAGUCGCCCCAUACUAGACUGCUCCGCAUAAUAAAACAUGAUAACCUUGAUUCAUGUCCCGUUGUUGUAAUAACGUGAAGCUGUUACGGAUACGAGAUUGUGAUUAAUGUUUAUGAGGCUUAACGAAUCAUGAUCUUCAUUCGUCGCAAUCAUUACGCGAGUUCGUUUCAAAGGUAUGUUGGUGGAACUUCUGGCUUUUGUAGCCUGAAGGCAAGAGAAAUGAUUUAUUAUUUUAAUUCUGGCCUAGGAGUGGGCCAAUUAUUCUCAUUCUCAGCUAAGGCACUGAAGGAAUGUAACGCCGAUGAGACAACUGCCUUCUUCAUUGAAGAAUCUCGCCUGCUGUAAUUAAUGCGUACAAUGGAAACCAGCCUUCCCUUACGUUUCAUGGCUCAUUUAUUGGUGGAAAACAGGGAAACACAUCUGACAAAUAAAGAGAAAGUACAGAA